AUUGAACGCUGGCGGCAUGCCUUCCACAUGCAAGUCGAACGGCAGCACGGGAGCAAUCCUGGUGGCGAGUGGCGUACGGGUGAGCAAAGUAUCGGAACGUGCCCAGUCGUCGGGGACAACGUAGCGAAGGGUAAGCUAAUACCGCAUACGAUCGAUGGAUCAAGGCGGGGGAUCGUCCGACCUCGUGCGAUUGGAGCGGCCGUUAUCAGAGUAGGGAGUUGGUAGGGUAAAGGCUCACCAAGCCGACGAUCUGUAGCUGGGCUGAGAGGACGGCCAGCCACACUGGGACUGAGACACGGACCAGACUCCUACGGGAGGCAGCAGUGGGGAAUUUUGGAGAAUGGGCGAAAGCCUGAUCCAGCCAUGCCGCGUGCAGGAUGAAGGCCUUCGGGUUGUAAACUGCUUUUGUACGGAACGAAAAGGUUUGGGCUAAUAAGCUGAGCUCAUGACGGUACCGUAAGAAUAAGCACCGGCUAACUACGUGCCAGCCGCCGCGGUAA
This 500-nucleotide ribosomal RNA is filed under the name uncultured bacterium. RNAcentral describes it as "partial 16S ribosomal RNA". It matches the Rfam family "Bacterial small subunit ribosomal RNA", at positions 29 to 523 of the family's 1533-position model. The record is from RNAcentral.